AAUUCGACGCAACGCGAAGAACCUUACCAAGGCUUGACAUACACCGGAAACGCCCAGAGAUGGGCGCCCCCUUGUGGGCGGGGUACAGGGGGGGCAUGGGUGUCGUCAGCUCGUGUCGUGAGAUGUUGGGUUAAGUCCCGCAACGAGCGCAACCCUUGUCCCGUGUUGCCAGCAGGCCCUUGGGGGGCUGGGGACUCACGGGAGACCGCC
This 210-nucleotide ribosomal RNA is filed under the name Streptomyces sp. RNAcentral's name for it is "partial 16S ribosomal RNA". It matches the Rfam family "Bacterial small subunit ribosomal RNA", at positions 948 to 1153 of the family's 1533-position model. The record is from RNAcentral. Lineage: Bacteria; Bacillati; Actinomycetota; Actinomycetes; Kitasatosporales; Streptomycetaceae.